CAAAAUCCACAUAACUAAAAACAAAAAUAAAAGUUUCCAGCUUUAACAACAACACUAAUAUUUACUCAUUUCUCCACUCUACACUUUCAUUGCUAACAAGAACUGCCCAAAUCCACUCUAACCAAUACCCAUUUGUGAAACCCGUUCCUUUUUGUGGUUGAAGCAUCAAAGUCACAAGCAUACAAAGAAGGAGAAGAAAAGGAACCAUAUGAAGAGUAUGAAGUAGAGAUUGAGCAACCUUAUGGAAUCAAAUUUGUGAAAUGAAGGGAUGGUGGAACUUACAUUGCUGCUAUUGCACCUGGUGGAUCAGCUCACAAGGCUUGACUGUUCAAUGUUGGUGAUAAAGUAAUUGCCACCACGUUUGUACUCUUCAUUUUUUUUAGUUCCAGAUGAUCUUAAUGUCCAUUGUUUUCCUGGAUUAAAUGCUGAUGGAAUGCUAAAUACAAUGAAGCAAUAGAGAAAGUUGAUUCUGUAUUGGGAACAAAGCCAGAACUUGAAGAAGCAGCAUUCACAAGUUACUAGUUGAUCUCUAAGCUAAACCAGAAACCAUGUUCCAACUUAAUACUACACCACACUAUGCUGGCCUGCCCGCUCCAAGUUGCGAGUUGAAGGUCUUAGACAGGAGGGUACAGCCUGAGGAUGGUUUGAACCAUCUUCUAUUAAUACAUGAUUAAUGAAAUGGAGGUCACUCUCAUGAUCAUCCAUUGACCCCAUCCAGGUAAGUACUUUACAAAGACGAUAUUCAAUUUCUUUUAUUCUCUUGCUUAUCUCAAUACCUUUCACUUACUUUCGAUGUGGGACUCAACUACUAGUAGGCAAUGUAUUUCCCAACUUGUGUAAGGUUGACCAACAAAAGAGUGCACGAUUGUUGGUGGUGUAAUGUAGAGUCGGAAACAGGAGAGCACGGGUUGCUGCAGUGUAAUCAGAGCAUUCAUAGUACUGCUAAAUGGUAACAUUGGAGAGAAAAUAUUUCACAUAUUAAAUGCACUUUCAAAGGAGAAAAUGAAUAUCUUUGCGAUGAUAUUAUGGAGUUUGUGGAAGAGUAGCAAAUGUAGUACAUGAAGGAUAGUAAUGUAUUUGCCAACAUGUGUAAGAUUGCAGGGCCAUAAAGAACACAGUGAGAGGGUUUCAUAGGCAUUUGAUAGAUCUAAGCAAAUCAUCAUUUUCUAAGGUGGUUGACAAAGUAUUAAUUUUGGAUGUCCUAGCUAUUGUGAUUUUGUUGUAGCCCUUAAUAUUAUGGUAUAAUAAGCAAAUACAGUUGAUAUAAUCU
This is a long non-coding RNA of Vicia villosa (hairy vetch), 1270 nucleotides long. RefSeq lists it as uncharacterized. The record is from RefSeq and is a predicted model, not a curated record. Lineage: Eukaryota; Viridiplantae; Streptophyta; Magnoliopsida; Fabales; Fabaceae. The transcript is spliced from 3 exons.